GGAGGUGUGGCAGAGCGGUUGAAUGCACCAGUCUUGAAAACUGGCAAGGUUGCAAGACCUUCGUGAGUUCGAAUCUCACCGCCUCCGCCA
RNAcentral lists this transfer RNA (90 nucleotides) under Rhodocyclaceae bacterium. Its description in RNAcentral is "tRNA-Ser". It matches the Rfam family "tRNA". Rfam says of the family: Transfer RNA (tRNA) molecules are approximately 80 nucleotides in length. Their secondary structure includes four short double-helical elements and three loops (D, anti-codon, and T loops). Further hydrogen bonds mediate the characteristic L-shaped molecular structure. tRNAs have two regions of fundamental functional importance: the anti-codon, which is responsible for specific mRNA codon recognition, and the 3' end, to which the tRNAs corresponding amino acid is attached (by aminoacyl-tRNA synthetases). tRNAs cope with the degeneracy of the genetic code in two manners: having more than one tRNA (with a specific anti-codon) for a particular amino acid; and 'wobble' base-pairing, i.e. permitting non-standard base-pairing at the 3rd anti-codon position. The record is from RNAcentral. Lineage: Bacteria; Pseudomonadati; Pseudomonadota; Betaproteobacteria; Rhodocyclales; Rhodocyclaceae.